RNAcentral lists this ribosomal RNA (468 nucleotides) under uncultured bacterium. Its description in RNAcentral is "partial 16S ribosomal RNA". It matches the Rfam family "Bacterial small subunit ribosomal RNA", at positions 28 to 507 of the family's 1533-position model. The record is from RNAcentral.
GACGAACGCUGGCGGCGUGCUUAACACAUGCAAGUCGAACGGAAAGGCCCUGCUUUUGUGGGGUGCUCGAGUGGCGAACGGGUGAGUAACACGUGAGUAACCUGCCCUUGACUUUGGGAUAACUUCAGGAAACUGGGGCUAAUACCGGAUAGGAGCUCCUGUUGCAUGGUGGGGGUUGGAAAGUUUCGGCGGUUGGGGAUGGACUCGCGGCUUAUCAGCUUGUUGGUGGGGUAGUGGCUUACCAAGGCUUUGACGGGUAGCCGGCCUGAGAGGGUGACCGGCCACAUUGGGACUGAGAUACGGCCCAGACUCCUACGGGAGGCAGCAGUGGGGAAUAGUGCACAAUGGGCGGAAGCCUGAUGCAGCAACGCCGCGUGCGGGAUGACGGCCUUCGGGUUGUAAACCGCUUUCGCCUGUGACGAAGCGUGAGUGACGGUAAUGGGUAAAGAAGCACCGGCUAACUACGUG